GUGGUAGAGGACAGGCACCACUUCUGAGAGGUGUUUCGUGGGCCUCGUUUGAGAGGUAGAGGACAGGCACCACUUCUGAGAGGUGUUCGUGGGCUUCGUUUGAGAGGUAGAGGACAGGCACCACUUCUGAGAAGUGGCCUGGGGGCCUCAUUUGAAAGGUGUGGGGGAACGUGGUAGAGAACAAGCCCACAGACCAAGACAGCGGCAGCAACAGCAUAGAGUGUCCAAUGAAAUUCGGGCAAUAGUUGUAGACCAUGUCAUAAAUCAUGGCAUGAAAAUGACUGAGGCGGCUACAAUGAUACAACCAAACCUCAGAAGGUCAACCACGGCCUCAAUAAUCAGAACUUUCCGCAAUGAGAACCGAAUUGUGACCAGGCCAAAUAGUGGAGCAGACUGUGGUCGAUUUGGUUCUGGCCAGAAAUGAUAUUCGCCUUACAGAAAUUCACCAGCAUAUCUUGGAAAAUGAAGACAUGUUCAACAAUUUGGGAUCCAUAAGUUUGCAGACUAUUGCACGCAUACUGAAAAGGCACCAGGUAUCUAUAAAACAACUAUCAAAAGAAAUGCAGACAGAGUUAAGCAAAUGAGGACUGAGUAUGUUCAGAAGGUGAUGGAGCUGGAUGCUGAUGAUGACCAUCACAAAUUCAUAUAUUUGGAUGAGGCAGGUUUUAAUCUGGCCAAGACAAGGAGGAGAGGUCGGAAUUUCAUUGGCCAGCGGGCAACCAUCCAAGUACCUGGACAAGGUGGGGCCUACAUCACCAUGUGUGCGGCUAUAUCAGAAGAUGGUGUGGUGGGACGCAGACCUCAUAUUGGACCAUAUAAUGCAGCUCUCCUUGUCACCUCGGCAAGCUCGAUCAGGUUUGUAGAGCUGAAGGUGUGACCUAUGUCAUUGUGUGGGACAAUGUCAGGUUCCAUCAUGCUCAUGUAGUGCAAGCAUGGUUUCAGGCCCUUGCACAAUUUACCACCCUGCAUUUACCCCAUACUCUCCCUUCCUUAACCCGAUUGAGGAAUUUUUCUCCGCAUGGAGAUGGAAGGUUCAUGAUAGGCACCCUCAAGUCACUCUUCUCCAGGCCAUGGAUGACGCCUGCAAUGACAUCACAGCAGACCAGUGUCCGGCCUGGAUUCACCAUGCCCGAAGGUUUUUUCCAAGAUGUUUGGCUAAUGAAAACAUCCAUUGUGAUGUAGAUGAGAACCUGUGGCCAAAUCCACAACACAGAGUUGAUGACAAUGUAGAAGUACAGUAAUCACUCCUGUUUUGUUUCUUACAAUACAAGCAAGCAAGUUGAAGAACACUGCAUUUUAUAUUUUACAGUACUGUCUUUUCUUUUCUAUUUCAUAGCUAAUUUAUUUUUGCUUUGAUUCAAAUAAACCUAUGGUGUGAUUGUACUGUAGUGUUUUGCAUCAAUAUAUUACACACUUUGUUCAAUGAUUCCACUGUGUCUGUAGUAUUCUCUCUACUACUGCAGUACUUUUACAGAGAUGUAUUACAUGUAGUACCAUAAUGAAACCUGUAUCACCUAUUUUGUUCUACAAUAUUUAAUGAUUGUACGAACAAUGACACAGUGAAACUAUCGGUUGCUUGUGUGUGGGUGAUCUAUAGUUAUGUUUCAAUGGUAUUUCACAGUAAAUUUGUGUUUUGAACCAAUGAUUGUGCAAGUGCAAUAUUUCUUUAAAGAUGUGAAUGCGCAAGGCAAUGUUUUGGACAUUAGACUGUUUUUCAGUUCUGUGUCUAGAGUUUUGAAAAAUUACAUCAAGGUUCUGAAAAUAGUAGCAAAGUGAUUGAAAAAGCUGUAACUGUCGAUGUCUCCUUAAGAGUCUGUGAAUAAAACACCUACUGAAUGAA
Molecule: long non-coding RNA, 1840 nt
Organism: Carassius gibelio (silver crucian carp)
Lineage: Eukaryota; Metazoa; Chordata; Actinopteri; Cypriniformes; Cyprinidae
Exons: 3
Source: RefSeq, a predicted model, not a curated record